GGCCCUUUACGUUGCGUUCUUAACGGUUCAGUCACCUGGGUGCAUUAUUCACAGGCGGGCAAGGAGUCCGAGCUAGGAUCCUGAAAAGGAGGGAACAAGUGUUGUAGCAGGUCUAAAAGUUCAGAUCCAGGAAAUGGAAACAUUGCUUUGCUUUUCCUGAAUUGUCCAGUGACCUAUCCCAGGCCUUCCUUUCCAGUGAACAAUGGACCAUGCAGGUGCACCCUCCUCUUCACGGGCCUCCAAAUGACUUUCUCAUUUUUCAAAUCAUUCCUCUGCACUCACUUUCUAUAAUGGUAGAGAAAUGCAUAUCCUGGAGUCUACAGUUAAAACUUUGUUUUAUUGAGAUUAAUGUUUAGGUAGAAUCACAUCAUCCAUCUUCUCCAAUCUUCUCCAAAGACCUCAGUUUUAAAGUGUGACAGGAUUAGAGAUGACCUGACUGGUGUCAGUAAGCAAGUGAUAAUGGUCGUCUGCUUUUAAGGCUUUUAGAAGUGAGAAUGUGAUUGGAAGUCCAAGCAUAGAAAUCUGUGUGAACAUAAGCAGGAAUUUUUUUCCAAGGAAUCCAGGAGUUGAGAUUUAUUUUUAUACAGAGUUAGUCAUAAGAAUAAAAAGUACAUAUGAGUAAAGUAAUAGUC
This is a long non-coding RNA of Nomascus leucogenys (northern white-cheeked gibbon), 632 nucleotides long. RefSeq lists it as uncharacterized. The record is from RefSeq and is a predicted model, not a curated record. Lineage: Eukaryota; Metazoa; Chordata; Mammalia; Primates; Hylobatidae.